RNAcentral lists this ribosomal RNA (565 nucleotides) under uncultured Lachnospiraceae bacterium. Its description in RNAcentral is "bacterial SSU rRNA". It matches the Rfam family "Bacterial small subunit ribosomal RNA", at positions 139 to 722 of the family's 1533-position model. The record is from RNAcentral. Lineage: Bacteria; Bacillati; Bacillota; Clostridia; Lachnospirales; Lachnospiraceae.
GGGGAUAACAGUUAGAAAUGGCUGCUAAUACCGCAUAAGACCACAGCACCGCAUGGUGCAGGGGUAAAAACUCCGGUGGUAUGAGAUGGACCCGCGUCUGAUUAGCUAGUUGGUGGGGUAACGGCCUACCAAGGCGACGAUCAGUAGCCGACCUGAGAGGGUGACCGGCCACAUUGGGACUGAGACACGGCCCAAACUCCUACGGGAGGCAGCAGUGGGGAAUAUUGCACAAUGGGGGAAACCCUGAUGCAGCGACGCCGCGUGAGCGAAGAAGUAUUUCGGUAUGUAAAGCUCUAUCAGCAGGGAAGAAAAUGACGGUACCUGACUAAGAAGCCCCGGCUAACUACGUGCCAGCAGCCGCGGUAAUACGUAGGGGGCAAGCGUUAUCCGGAUUUACUGGGUGUAAAGGGAGCGUAGACGGCGAGGCAAGUCUGAUGUGAAAACCCGGGGCUCAACCCCGUGACUGCAUUGGAAACUGUUUUGCUUGAGUGCCGGAGAGGUAAGCGGAAUUCCUAGUGUAGCGGUGAAAUGCGUAGAUAUUAGGAGGAACACCAGUGGCGAAGGC